UAGGGAAUCUUCGGCAAUGGGGGGAACCCUGACCGAGCAACGCCGCGUGAGUGAAGAAGGUUUUCGGAUCGUAAAGCUCUGUUGUUAAGGAAGAACGAGUGUGAGAAUGGAAAGUUCAUACUGUGACGGUACUUAACCAGAAAGGGACGGCUAACUACGUGCCAGCAGCCGCGGUAAUACGUAGGUCCCGAGCGUUGUCCGGAUUUAUUGGGCGUAAAGCGAGCGCAGGCGGUUAGAAAAGUCUGAAGUGAAAGGCAGUGGCUCAACCAUUGUAGGCUUUGGAAGCUGUUUAACUUGAGUGCAGAAGGGGAGAGUGGAAUUCCAUGUGUAGCGGUGAAAUGCGUAGAUAUAUGGAGGAACACCGGUGGCGAAAGCGGCUCUCUGGUCUGUAACUGACGCUGAGGCUCGAAAGCGUGGGGAGCGAACAGGAUUAGAUACCCUGGUAGUCCACGCCGUAACGAUGAGUGCUAGGUGUUAGGUCCUUUCCGGGACUUAGUGCCGCAGCUAACGCAUUAAGCACUCCGCCUGGGGAGUACGACCGCAAGGUUG
RNAcentral lists this ribosomal RNA (549 nucleotides) under uncultured bacterium. RNAcentral's name for it is "bacterial SSU rRNA". It matches the Rfam family "Bacterial small subunit ribosomal RNA", at positions 355 to 896 of the family's 1533-position model. The record is from RNAcentral.